RNAcentral lists this ribosomal RNA (449 nucleotides) under uncultured bacterium. RNAcentral's name for it is "partial 16S ribosomal RNA". It matches the Rfam family "Bacterial small subunit ribosomal RNA", at positions 29 to 523 of the family's 1533-position model. The record is from RNAcentral.
AACGAACGCUGGCGGCAUGCCUAACACAUGCAAGUCGAACGAGACCUUCGGGUCUAGUGGCGCACGGGUGCGUAACGCGUGGGAAUCUACCCUUGGGUUCGGAAUAACAGUUAGAAAUGACUGCUAAUACCGGAUGAUGACGUAAGUCCAAAGAUUUAUCGCCCAAGGAUGAGCCCGCGUAAGAUUAGCUUGUUGGUGGGGUAAUGGCCUACCAAGGCGACGAUCUUUAGCUGGUCUGAGAGGAUGAUCAGCCACACUGGGACUGAGACACGGCCCAGACUCCUACGGGAGGCAGCAGUGGGGAAUAUUGGACAAUGGGCGAAAGCCUGAUCCAGCAAUGCCGCGUGAGUGAUGAAGGCCUUAGGGUUGUAAAGCUCUUUCAGGUGGGAAGAUAAUGACUGUACCACCAGAAGAAGCCCCGGCUAACUCCGUGCCAGCCGCCGCCGUAA